GAUGAACGCUGGCGGCGUGCCUAAUACAUGCAAGUCGAGCGAACGGACGAGAAGCUUGCUUCUCUGAUGUUAGCGGCGGACGGGUGAGUAACACGUGGAUAACCUACCUAUAGACUGGGAUAACUUCGGGAAACCGGAGCUAAUACCGGAUAAUAUUUUGAACCGCAUGGUUCAAAAGUGAAAGACGGUCUUGCUGUCACUUAUAGAUGGAUCCGCGCUGCAUUAGCUAGUUGGUAAGGUAACGGCUUACCAAGGCAACGAUGCAUAGCCGACCUGAGAGGGUGAUCGGCCACACUGGAACUGAGACACGGUCCAGACUCCUACGGGAGGCAGCAGUAGGGAAUCUUCCGCAAUGGGCGAAAGCCUGACGGAGCAACGCCGCGUGAGUGAUGAAGGUCUUCGGAUCGUAAAACUCUGUUAUUAGGGAAGAACAUAUGUGUAAGUAACUGUGCACAUCUUGACGGUACCUAAUCAGAAAGCCACGGCUAACUACGUG
This 496-nucleotide ribosomal RNA is filed under the name uncultured bacterium. RNAcentral describes it as "partial 16S ribosomal RNA". It matches the Rfam family "Bacterial small subunit ribosomal RNA", at positions 28 to 507 of the family's 1533-position model. The record is from RNAcentral.